UGCGUAGGUGGACCAAUAAGUCAGUGGUGAAAUCUUUCGGCUCAACCGAGAAACUGCCAUUGAUACUGUUGGUCUUGAGUUCGGUAGAGGUAGGCGGAAUGUGUAAUGUAGCGGUGAAAUGCUUAGAUAUUACACAGAACACCAAUUGCGUAGGCAGCUUACUAUGCCGACACUGACGCUGAGGCACGAAAGCGUGGGGAGCGAACAGGAUUAGAUACCCUGGUAGUCC
This 229-nucleotide ribosomal RNA is filed under the name uncultured bacterium. Its description in RNAcentral is "partial 16S ribosomal RNA". It matches the Rfam family "Bacterial small subunit ribosomal RNA", at positions 568 to 796 of the family's 1533-position model. The record is from RNAcentral.